UAUAUACUGAACAAAAAAGUGUGAAACAACUGAAAAUAUGUCUUAUAUUGUAGGUUCUUCAAAGUAGCCACCUUUUGCUUCGAUUAUUGCUCCGCACACUCUUGGCAUUCUGUUGAAGAGCUUCACAGGAUAGAGUAGAAGGUUUUAGUGCGAUUAGAGUCGCCAUUUAGGGUCUAAUGUGUCCUGAAUUGUAUGUGCAUGCCAUUGUUUUGAAACUUGCUGGUACUGUCGGAUGCCGCCGUGUCUCGCAAGUGUGUCUUUAUCGUGCGAACACCUGCACGCAGGUGCGCUGUCAAACUGGACCGCUAUAAUAACCUUAUGGUGAAAAUCAACCAUUUUCUUUGUCUUAAACUUCAACGUUUUACUGGUUUGCCACCAAAAGGGUUUAUGAUCCUUUGUGUGGGCUGAGUUUUACAACCUUGCUGGGGGAAGGUUUAUGACUGCCUGUGUCCUGCUGAGCUACACUUGGGAGGGGCACACUCAAAGCUUCGUUCAUUGCUCUACAUGCUGUAAUACUCAAUAUAUUUUUAAAUAUAUAUAUAUACACAACUGACUUUACAAUUAAAUAUAUCGUGAGAUCAGUCCAAGUAUGCAUGGUGUUGUUCUGGAAGUGUUCAUCAGAGAAACAGCCUGAGUGAAGAAACUGUCUCUGUGGGGGCUUGUUUUAGCACACAGCACUCUGUAGUGCCACCUGAAGGUAAAAGUCUAAACAGUUUGUGUGCAGGUUGUGUGGGGUCUGCAGAGAUUUUAGCUGUCCUUUCAAAGUUUAAGAAUAGAUAACAUCUCAAAAUAGGGGAUCAUUAACUGUGACAAUUGAAUUCUAUUUAUGCAAUAAAAUCUUAUCGGUCUCAUUAAUGAAAUAUCUUCCUCUCUCUCUAAACUUGAGGGAUUGUUGCCCAGAGCGACUUAACUAUUGUGUCUCACCAAGGGAGUCCCUCUAAGGUCGGGACACUGUCGGUUCUGUGGCACAGUCUAGGUGUCUUGAGUGUUUAUUUAUCUGGAAAUCAGGACCAAAUUGAACAAAAUAAUAAAAAUAAUCUAUCUUACUGUACAAAGUGAUGAUAAGUCAGCUAAAUAGACUGAGCCUCUCCUUUUAUGGUUCUGGUACUGUGACCCUCCUGAUUAGCCCAUCACUCCUUUUCACCGUCUCAAUUUACCCUGUCAUACAUCACCCCAUCAUGAUCACGGAGGAGUUUUUUCCAUGUUUCAUUAGCUGAUAGACUCUGCUAUUAUUAUAUUAGAUUCUCAGAGUCAUAUUAGUUUAUGCCUCUGAGAGUCUUAUAACAUUAGAUAAAACAGGCACAGUUUUAUGGCAACAUUAUAUAAAACUGGCACAGUUCCUUCUAAAAUGUAAACACGAGAAUUCAUUCAUGUUCAGAAGCCCAGUAUGUUUAAUUUGCUGAAAAACAUAAUUAUCAUUUCUAAAUAAACAGUUCAUCAUAACUACUUUGUAGACUUUAUACUUUGACCAUUACAGGAGCAUCAUCUGUACAAAAAAAAGGAUAAUUUUAGCUAAAUGCAAAGUCAUGAUAAAAGCCUUUUCAACAGCCUAUGUCAGAGUGUGGCAUCUCUGCAAAAAGGCCUGGCUUUUGUGUAUUUCUAAGACUAUUUGCUGUUGUUUUAAUUUGCUUAUUGCAUUUUUUGUAGAUUUUGGAUAUCAAAAGUGGAGUUCACAGGUCUUUGCAACGGUUUUUUUAAUGGAUUGGAAGCUGAAAAGUUUGGGAACCAUAUUUUAAACAGAAAUAUGCAUAGAGCUCACAAUAAACAGCUGACUACAAGUGCCUGCCAGCAAAAGCCUUGUACACAAAUGUUACUUUUUUCCUCAUCAAAAAUCUAAUAAAACUGAAGAUUCUCUGUUAUUGAAGAAGCUUUGGCUUGUUGACUUGGGAAGCAGGGCAGACAUUGAGCCAAGAAAUAGGUGUAGCAAUGAGCUGUUGGGAGAACCACUUUCUGUUUCUUUAGAAUAUUAAACACAUUAUGAUCCCCCAUCAGUCACCUGGUCACAUAAUCAUGCUUGCUUCUGCGUGUAUUCCCACAGAUCUAGAGCCCCUUCUCCAGGUUCGUAUAUCAUUGUCCUCAAUAAACCGGCUCAGGAUAAUUGCUGCUGACGUGAGCCCUGUUGUGGGCAGAGAUUCAUGAUGGAGCCACCUCCUGUGUUCAGCCUGUGUCUAUGAAGUGUUUUAAUCAGGAAGUGCAAAUUAUGCAAAGAAGGUUUCUGAGGAGGACGAGACAAAUGGAACGUUCAAUGAUUAAAAAAUUAAAAUUUUCUUUUAAACUUGCCUUUAUGUCCUGUCAGAUCUUGCUGUUUACAACAGCAGUAACAUCACAGAUUUUUUAACAGACUAAUAAAUAGCUAAGAUAAUUUGUCAUAUAAGGUUCGCAGAUGUACCAGAGUGUCAUGGAGUGACAUUUUUGGACUCUGUUUGUGGCUUUGUGUUUGUUUACCUUUUGCUUAGAUGUUUCUAUUUUGGUUUUUGUAUCAUGUUUUCUUUUCUCCCUCUUCGGCCUCCUAGUGUUUACUUCUUAAGUUCUUUUAUGGUUGUUUUCUUAGACGUCUCACUGUGAGCUAAUUGAUGCUUGGAGCGGAGGCCUGCAUCCUGCUGAUAUCAUGCCGAGCAGUUUGUCCAAUCACUUAAAGUAACACAAACACAGUAUGUGAUUGAGACCUGGAAAUAAAUCACUGAAAUAUGAGACGGGAAUCUGUAGUUACUUUCAUAUGCACACACAUUAUGUUUAUUUAGCCAACAGAAGAACAAUAUGUACAGUAACCAGUUGUUUACAUACAGUGAAAGGGAGCCUCAUUAGGUGAGACUCAAUUUCCAGAAAAUUUAUUAGAAAGUAAGAUAACCAGUUUAAACACCAAGCCCAGUGGGCGUUGUAGUGUAUGCACAUUUUACAAGAGCUGCAGGGAGUGUUCAAACCUUUUAUGUAGCUAUUUACAAUUUUGCAGUUCCCAAAAACAGGUAUGAUUUUAGUUUUUAUAGCAUUAGUAUAUUUAUUUCCUUCAGCAGUCACAUAUACAGAAUCCACCUAUGUGUUAUUUAAGCUCUGUAUGAGUACAGCUGUCCUGUGGGGAUGUUUUUCUUUAGCAGGUGCAGUGAAGCUGAUCAGUAGAUAUGAAAUGGAUGGAGCUAAAUACAAAGAAAUCCUGGAGGAAAACAUGUUACACAAGACUUGAGUGGAGGUUCCGUUAGGACAACCCUAAACACACAGCCAGAGCUACAAUGGAAUGCACUGACUGAUUAACUCAGCACAGUAAAGUUGGCAGCAGGAAUGUGACUCAGAAGUCAAAACAGUCACUUUCCUGCCAAAGAGGAGACCUGAAAACAUCACACCACCCAAACACUGCAGAAUCCACAUCAGCUGCCAGGAGAUACAUUUUUACAGCCCUCAGCUGCAUGAAUGUUAAAAUUGCGAUUCUUGAGCGUAUUGUUCAUUGACACUUUUACCUGCCACUGCUGCCUCUUUACACUGCUCAGUACCUGAAGGCCACUGAUUGGUCAGCCUGCCUGUAGCCCCUCAGAGUGAAACACACGAUGCAUUCAGUUACUUUAUUUGCAGUUUCUCAACCAUUUCAGACCUUCAUGUGACCUCAUCAGCAAACUGGAGAAUGAUUUACCAGCAGGGCAAACAUUCGGUGCAGUCACUAACACCGUGGUUACAGGGUCAUUCUGAAAGAUCACAUUCAUGCAAAAUGAGGUGCAUGGAUGGCAUUAAAUGUGGUUUACCUUUUAUAAGUUUUCUUCAGUCGUUGCAACAUAAAGGAAAGAAAAAUUAUCAUCAUCAUGCACCUUGCAAUUAUGAACAAAGUGAACCUGUCCCUUUGCAGAAAUAAACAGAGCAAAAACCUUAUAUGAUCCAUUAAAGAAGAGAUUUACACACUGUUUUUCCUCUUCCUCCUGUUUCUUCAUUUUGCAUAUUGCAGCUAUGCUUAAAGGCUGGUAUUGAUCCAGCAGAAUGAAAUGCAAAUACUUGUAAUUUUAUCCCUGAUCUAUAGUGUACUACCAGCCAGCUGUGUGUUACAUCAUUUAGCUUAAGUUGUUAAAACUUCAAACAUUUGCUAAUAGUUUUUAUUUGUUUUGUUUCAGUUAUGACAGGUACUAGUUAUGAUGCUUCCCCAGAUUAGCCAAAUAAAUUCCAAUUGGCCUACAUUGCUUUAUCACAAUGUAGAUCAGUUUUCCUGGCAAGUUUACUGGAAGUUCCUGUUGCUCCAUGCAAAAUACCUCUCCACAGUACAGUUUCAAUUGGAUGUUUCUUCUGCGUUGCCUGUUUGAAGUUAUCAACUCCAUCUCUGGGGAAGAACGUUUUAGUUGUGGGAGUCAUUACAAAAUGGGAUAGGUCGGUAUGGAAAAAUUGGGUGUGAGGUGUCACAAACUCUUGAGAUGUUUUGAGGUUAAGUGUAGUAGUUUCUUAUUUUUUCAGUUCAGGAAGUUCUGUUAUUUCCGCUUUUUCUUGUUGCUGUAAUGUUCUGCUUUUAAGGUAGGAUUCACUUUAUUUCCUGUUUUAUUUUGAAAACCUGGCUGUUUUUUUUAUUUUUUAUCUGGAGCUACACGAAUCACCACUUAUGGGUUUAUUAUCUAUACUAUCAGCUCCUCGGCCCACAAUCUGUGUGGUUUCUGUAGUUCUCAGCUGGACCAUUGUGGCAACCGCCCUCCUCUUUAGUUUGUCACUCCUGACACAUACAUGUUUUUAUGAUUUUGUUUAUUAAAUUCUUUAUUGUGUA
This is a long non-coding RNA of Girardinichthys multiradiatus, 4723 nucleotides long. RefSeq lists it as uncharacterized. The record is from RefSeq and is a predicted model, not a curated record. NCBI's taxonomy places the organism in Eukaryota, Metazoa, Chordata, Actinopteri, Cyprinodontiformes, Goodeidae. The transcript is spliced from 2 exons.